GACGAACGCUGGCGGCGUGCCUAAUACAUGCAAGUAGGACGCAGUUGCGAACGGGUGAGUAACGCGUAGGUAACUACCUAUUAGAGGGGGAUAACUCAUGGAAACGAUAGCUAAUACCGCAUACUAGUAGAUGGACCUGCGUUGUAUUAGUUAGUAGGUAGGGGAAUGGCCUACCUAGGCAACGAUACAUAGCCGACCUGGGGUGGUGGUCGGCACCACUGGGACUGGGACACGGCCCAGACUCCUACGGGAGGCAGCAGUAGGGAAUCUUCGGCAAUGGGGGGAACCCUGACCGGACAAAGCCGCCGGAGUGAAGAAGGUUUUCCGGUCGUAAAGCCCUGUUGUUUAGGAAGCGGUACUUAACCAGAAAGGGACGGCUAACUACGUGCCAGCCGCCGCGGUAAUAC
RNAcentral lists this ribosomal RNA (407 nucleotides) under uncultured bacterium. RNAcentral describes it as "partial 16S ribosomal RNA". It matches the Rfam family "Bacterial small subunit ribosomal RNA", at positions 28 to 526 of the family's 1533-position model. The record is from RNAcentral.